CAGCAUUGGAAAAACUGAAGAUGACUAACUGGUAUUUACCUGCAACAGAAGCAGUUUGGCGGUUUUUGACAAACAAGAGGGUUCGUUCACCUAGAAGACAAAGAAGUGGGAAAGCAGAGGCCUUUUGUCCGCAAAGAAUAA
Molecule: long non-coding RNA, 141 nt
Organism: Haliotis rubra (blacklip abalone)
Lineage: Eukaryota; Metazoa; Mollusca; Gastropoda; Lepetellida; Haliotidae
Exons: 2
Source: RefSeq, a predicted model, not a curated record